GUGGUGGCUCAGGGGCAGAGCGCUCGCCUAGCAUGUGUGAAGCACUGGGUUCGAUCCCCAGCACCACG
Molecule: transfer RNA, 68 nt
Filed under: Ictidomys tridecemlineatus (thirteen-lined ground squirrel)
Lineage: Eukaryota; Metazoa; Chordata; Mammalia; Rodentia; Sciuridae
Description: Spermophilus tridecemlineatus (thirteen-lined ground squirrel) tRNA
Rfam family: tRNA
About the family: Transfer RNA (tRNA) molecules are approximately 80 nucleotides in length.
Source: Rfam by way of RNAcentral